This 324-nucleotide ribosomal RNA is filed under the name uncultured bacterium. RNAcentral's name for it is "bacterial SSU rRNA". It matches the Rfam family "Bacterial small subunit ribosomal RNA", at positions 30 to 335 of the family's 1533-position model. The record is from RNAcentral.
AGUGAACGCUGGCGGCAGGCCUAACACAUGCAAGUCGAGCGGCAGCGGGUUCCCGCGAGGGGAUGCCGGCGAGCGGCGGACGGGUGAGGAACACAUCGGAAUCUGCCUGGUUGUGGGGGGAUAACGUAGGGAAACUUACGCUAAUACCGCAUGAGACCCUGAGUCGACGGACUGGGGGUGAAAGUGAGGGACCUUCGGGCCUCACGCGACCAGAUGAGCCGAUGUCGGAUUAGCUAGUUGGCGGGGUAACGGCCCGCCAAGGCGACGAUCCGUAGCUGGUCUGAGAGGAUGAUCAGCCACACUGGGACUGAGACACGGCCCAGA